UACGAAGGGGGCUAGCGUUGCUCGGAAUCACUGGGCGUAAAGCGCACGUAGGCGGAUUGUUAAGUCAGGGGUGAAAUCCUGGAGCUCAACUCCAGAACUGCCUUUGAUACUGGCGACCUUGAGUCCGGGAGAGGUGAGUGGAACUGCGAGUGUAGAGGUGAAAUUCGUAGAUAUUCGCAAGAACACCAGUGGCGAAGGCGGCUCACUGGCCCGGUACUGACGCUGAGAUACGAAAGCGUGGGGAGCAAACAGG
This 253-nucleotide ribosomal RNA is filed under the name uncultured bacterium. Its description in RNAcentral is "partial 16S ribosomal RNA". It matches the Rfam family "Bacterial small subunit ribosomal RNA", at positions 524 to 776 of the family's 1533-position model. The record is from RNAcentral.